RNAcentral lists this ribosomal RNA (233 nucleotides) under uncultured bacterium. RNAcentral describes it as "partial 16S ribosomal RNA". It matches the Rfam family "Bacterial small subunit ribosomal RNA", at positions 524 to 775 of the family's 1533-position model. The record is from RNAcentral.
GACGUAGGAGGCGAGCGUUAUCCGGAUUUACUGGGCGUAAAGCGCAUGUAGGCGGUUCGUCAAGUCGUGUGUUAAGCCCUGGCUCAACUGGGGAGGUCAUGCGAGACUGCCGGACUUGAGGACAGUAGAGCACGUGAACUCCGGUGUAGCGUGAAUGCGUAGAGAUCGGAGAACACCGUGCGAGCGACGUGCUGGCUGUACUGACGCUGAGAUGCGAAGUGUGGGAGCAACGG